CCUACGGGGGGCAGCAGUAAGGAAUAUUGGUCAAUGGACGCAAGUCUGAACCAGCCAUGCCGCGUGGAGGAUUAAGGCCCUUGGGUUGUAAACUCCUUUUAUCUGGGAAGCGGUACCAGAGGAAUAAGCACCGGCUAACUCCGUGCCAGCAGCCGCGGUAAUACGGAGGGUGCAAGCGUUAUCCGGAUUCACUGGGUUUAAAGGGUGCGUAGGCGGGCAGGUAAGUCCGUGGUGAAAUCUCUGAGCUUAACUCAGAAACUGCCAUGGAUACUAUUUGUCUUGAAUGUUGUGGAGGUAAGCGGAAUAUGUCAUGUAGCGGUGAAAUGCUUAGAUAUGACAUAGAACACCAAUUGCGAAGGCAGCUUACUACACAAAAUUGACGCUGAGGCACGAAAGCGUGGGGAUCAAACAGGAUUAGAUACCCUUGUAGUC
RNAcentral lists this ribosomal RNA (432 nucleotides) under uncultured bacterium. Its description in RNAcentral is "partial 16S ribosomal RNA". It matches the Rfam family "Bacterial small subunit ribosomal RNA", at positions 338 to 795 of the family's 1533-position model. The record is from RNAcentral.